This 1335-nucleotide long non-coding RNA is filed under the name Numida meleagris (helmeted guineafowl). RNAcentral describes it as "lncRNA (ENSNMEG00000003908.1)". The record is from RNAcentral. Lineage: Eukaryota; Metazoa; Chordata; Aves; Galliformes; Numididae.
GGGGUCACUUGGGGUCCCAUUUUGGGGUCCCAUUUUGGGGUCCCAUUUUGGGGUCCCAUUUUGGGGUCCCUGGGGUUUGGGGUCCCUGGGGUUUGGGGUCCCUGGGGUUUGGGGUCCCUGGGGUUUGGGGUCCCGUUUUGGGGUCCCGUUUUGGGGUCCCAUUUUGGGGUCCCUGGGGUUUGGGGUCCCAUUUUGGGGUCAUAUUUUAUGGUCCCAUUUGGGGUCAUUCUGGGGUCCCUGGGGUUUGGGGUCCCAAUUUUGGGGUCCCAAUUUGGAGUCAUUUUGGGGUCCCUUUUUGGGGUCUCUCGGGGUCAUAUUUUGGGGUCACUCGUGGUCCCAUUUUGGGGUGUCUCGGGGUCACAAUUCGGGGUCUCUCGGGGUCAUAAUGGGGUCACAUUUUGGGGUCCCAUUUGAGGUCAUUUUGGGGUUAUUUUGGGGUCCCUUUUUGGGGUCACUCGGGGUCACAAUUUGGUGUCACUCGGGGUCGCAAUUUGGGGUCACUCGGGGUCCCAUUUUGGGGUCCCUGGGGUUUGGGGUCCCAUUUUGGGGUCAUUUGGGGUCACUCGGGGUUAUAUUUUGGGGUCCCAUUUGGGGUCAUUUUGGGGUUAUUUUGGGGUCAUAUUUUGGGGUCACUCGGGGUCAUAUUUUGGGGUCACUCGGGGUCCCAUUUUGGGGUCCCAUUUGGGGUCAUUUUGGGGUCCCAUUUUGGGGUCCCUGGGGUUUGGGGUCCCAUUUUGGGGUCCCAUUUGGGGUCAUAUUUUGGGGUCACUCGGGGUCACAUUUUGGGGUCACUCGGGGUCACAAUUUGGGGUCCCAUUUGGGGUCAUUUUGGGGUCUUUUCGGGGUCCCUUUUUGGGGUCUCUCAGGGUCAUAUUUUGGGGUCACUUGGGUCCACAUUUUGGGGUCAUUUUGGGGUCCCAUUUGGGGUCAUUUUGGGGUCCCUGGGGUUUGGGGUCCCAAUUUUGGGGUCCCAAUUUGGAGUCAUUUUGGGGUCCCAUUUUGGGGUCUCUCGGGGUCCCAUUUUGGGGUCCCAUUUUGGAGUCCCAUUUGGGGGCAUUUUGGGGUCAUUUUGGGGUCCCAUCUUGGGGUCUCUCAGGGUCCCAUUUUGGGGUCACUCAGGGUCACAAUUUGGGGUCACUUUGGGUCAUAUUUUGGGGUCCCAUUUUGGGGUCUCUCGGGGUCCCAUUUUGGGGUCAUUUUGGGGUCCCUGGGGUUUGGGGUCCCAUUUUGGGGUCGUUUUGGGGUGACGUUUUGGGGUGUCCCCGCAGCCGGCCCCGUCAUCAUGUCGCUGGAGGAGAAGAUGGAGGCCGACGCGCGCUCCAUCUACGUCGGCAA